This 291-nucleotide long non-coding RNA is filed under the name Musa acuminata (dwarf banana). Its description in RNAcentral is "long non-coding RNA (MACU_LNC006647)". Lineage: Eukaryota; Viridiplantae; Streptophyta; Magnoliopsida; Zingiberales; Musaceae. The record is from RNAcentral.
UCUAAUCAUCAAAACAAUUUAGUACAUCAAAUAUCUGCUUUAUUCGCAUCAUCCAUUAUUCUGCCACUAUUCUACCACCAAUGGAUUAGGUUCACCAUGCUUUCGCUGCGCCACUCUGAUUUGAUAUCCUGGAUCACCCCUUUCAUCCCACUUAAUUACUCAACAAAAGAUUAAGUAAGACGACCAGAUGUCCUCGUCAUCUUAGAUUCCUAAAAGAUAUUAAAGAAAAUUUUCACCGAUCACUAUAGUUUACUAGACCUCAAUGUAUUUUAUAUAUUAAACUUAUUAAAU